Molecule: ribosomal RNA, 194 nt
Filed under: uncultured Klebsiella sp.
Lineage: Bacteria; Pseudomonadati; Pseudomonadota; Gammaproteobacteria; Enterobacterales; Enterobacteriaceae
Description: partial 16S ribosomal RNA
Rfam family: Bacterial small subunit ribosomal RNA
Source: RNAcentral
CCUAGGGGAGGCAGCAGUGGGGAAUAUUGCACAAUGGGCGCAAGCCUGAUGCAGCCAUGCCGCGUGUAUGAAGAAGGCCUUCGGGUUGUAAAGUACUUUCAGCGGGGAGGAAGGCGAUAAGGUUAAUAACCUUGUCGAUUGACGUUACCCGCAGAAGAAGCACCGGCUAACUCCGUGCCAGCAGCCGCGGUAAU